RNAcentral lists this ribosomal RNA (690 nucleotides) under uncultured bacterium. RNAcentral describes it as "bacterial SSU rRNA". It matches the Rfam family "Bacterial small subunit ribosomal RNA", at positions 235 to 917 of the family's 1533-position model. The record is from RNAcentral.
GUUGUAUUAGCUAGUAGGUGAGGUAACGGCUCACCUAGGCGACGAUACAUAGCCGACCUGAGAGGGUGAUCGGCCACACUGGGACUGAGACACGGCCCAGACUCCUACGGGAGGCAGCAGUAGGGAAUCUUCGGCAAUGGGGGGAACCCUGACCGAGCAACGCCGCGUGAGUGAAGAAGGUUUUCGGAUCGUAAAGCUCUGUUGUUAAGGAAGAACGAGUGUGAGAAUGGAAAGUUCAUACUGUGACGGUACUUAACCAGAAAGGGACGGCUAACUACGUGCCAGCAGCCGCGGUAAUACGUAGGUCCCGAGCGUUGUCCGGAUUUAUUGGGCGUAAAGCGAGCGCAGGCGGUUAGAUAAGUCUGAAGUUAAAGGCAGUGGCUCAACCAUUGUAGGCUUUGGAAACUGUUUAACUUGAGUGCAGAAGGGGAGAGUGGAAUUCCAUGUGUAGCGGUGAAAUGCGUAGAUAUAUGGAGGAACACCGGUGGCGAAAGCGGCUCUCUGGUCUGUAACUGACGCUGAGGCUCGAAAGCGUGGGGAGCGAACAGGAUUAGAUACCCUGGUAGUCCACGCCGUAAACGAUGAGUGCUAGGUGUUAGGUCCUUUCCGGGACUUAGUGCCGCAGCUAACGCAUUAAGCACUCCGCCUGGGGAGUACGACCGCAAGGUGAAACUCAAAGGAAUUGACGGC